This 411-nucleotide ribosomal RNA is filed under the name uncultured eukaryote. RNAcentral describes it as "bacterial SSU rRNA". It matches the Rfam family "Eukaryotic small subunit ribosomal RNA", at positions 405 to 815 of the family's 1831-position model. The record is from RNAcentral.
GGCUACCACUUCCAAGGAAGGCAGCAGGCGCGCAACUUACCCCUAAUCUCGAUUCGAGGAGGUAGUGACAAGAAAUACCGAUGCGGGACCCUACGGGUGCCGCGUUCGGAAUGAGUACGAUCCGAACCACCUAACGAGGAACGAUCGGAGGGCAAGUCUGGUGCCAGCAGCCGCGGUAAUUCCAGCUCCAAUAGCGUACGUUAAAGUUGCUGCAGUUAAAAAGCUCGUAGUUGAACGUUCGGGGUUCCGCGGGACGGGGCCGCCCCGCGAGGGACGGCGCCGCCCCGGGGCUCGUGAUAUCUUAUCUCGCCGCCCGUCGCGAGGCGGACGGAGGGAUGGAUGAGGUUACCUGGAAAAAAUCGGGGCGAUCUAGGCGGGCGAACCUCGCCAACGAACGAUCGGACAUGGGAU